UAAGCAUUCAUCAUUGAUAUAUCAAACGGCAAGCUUGGAAUAACGUUGAUAUAUACAUUGGCAUAGAUUUCGACUUCGGACUUUUGACUACCAUAUCAUCAAUGUAAGCUUCCACAAUAUUCCUCAACAAUCCAUUGAAGAUUUUAGUCACAAGCCUUUGAUAGCUGGAACUAGCGUUUUUCAACCUGAAAAGGCAUGAGUUUGUAGCAAAAUAGAGCUCUUGGAGUGAUAAAGCUUAUUUUUUCCACAUGCUUUGGAUGCAUCGGGAUUUGUUGUUUCCGCUGUAUGCAUCCAAAAGGGAAAGCCUUUAGUAGGUAGUGGUAGCAUCCACUAAUUGGUCAAUUUUUGGCAAGGGAAAGGAUCCUCCGGACAGGCUUUGUUAAGGUUUGUGUAAUCUAUGCAUACUGGCCAUUUUUUUUCACACCACAACAACAUUAGAGUUCAAUUCAGGGUAUUGAACAUCCUAAAUGAAUCAAACCUUGAAGAGGCGUUCCAUUCCAUUUCUGAGCAAAUCUCCCAUGUUUUUGUUGCACUAGUUUUACCAUUGGGUCAAUUGUUAAUUGGUGGUAUGCAACUUCUGGAUAUAUUCAUAGCAUGUUUGUGUGACCAUGCAAAAGCAUCGUACUUCCUCUUGAGUAGGAAAAUCAUAAGUCUUUUCCACUUGAGCCAAUUUGCACCCUUUUUCUGAGGCUAAAGGAUCAAGGGAUAUUGUUUCUAGUUCUUCAAUGACAAGCUCCUUGUAGUGCAAGCAUCGAGACAUUCAAUUUGGCAUUGGAUCUUACAGUUGUUAUUUAGCCCCAUCCUCCACCAAUUGUUGUGGUGAAGGAAAGGUUCCUCAAUAAGUCUAUGUUCUAAAGAUGAGAACUAUCUCAUUUCCUCUAUUGUCAGCUUUUUCUUGUUCUCCAGAACGAGUUCUGAUCUAAAUGUUCCUUUGCAAGGUUUGAUGAUGACAAUUGCCAUCAUUUGAUCUUCUUCUAUAUUAAAUGUCCCCCUCCCUAUUUGAGAAACACCACAGACACUUAGUACAGUGUUGCGAAAACCGACUCUAUAUAGUAAAGCCAACGUCUCUUUAAUAUUGCAAGGUAGGCCUAUUGGGCAUUAAUGACCAUAAAAUCAACUGAAAUAGUCUUGUCUCUAACUUUUAGUGGGAGGUUGAUUAUUCUUUUUGCCGUUAGCCUUAUUCCCUCAAAGGCUAUAAAAGGGGAAUAUCAUUUUUGUAAAUAGUCUCAUUUUUUGAAAUCAUCCCAAUAAGGAAUCUUUGCCGCUACUUUCCUCAUUAAUAAGAAUAAUUUUAACCACAAAAUUGGUGAUUUUCAGACUUACCACCAAGUGGUCUAUAUGAGGCAUGUCAAUUCUUUCAAAGUCUUUUUGAGAGAAAGUAAGUUAGGCAGGCUCCUUUGAAAUGGACAUAAUAGCAACUAUGAAAGUUUUAAUGAUUUCGUAUCACUAUAUCUUUUGUGCCUGAUAACCAUGACAUUUUUAAACUUAAACCAAUAGUAUUUAGAGAGUAAAUGAUGCAUUUUUAUUACAUUCUUAGUUACAUUUUGUAUGAGCCUGUAUUUAAAUUUUAUUUUGAUAAAUUGGUUGUAUUUUAGAUUACUUUGUGCUCUAAUUAUGUGUGAUUGUGGGGGACAAAAAAGCUUAAGCUUUAUGGAUGGAAAGCUGCAGCAGCAGAGUUGCAGAGAUGACAAAAAAACUUGGCUGCAGAGGAAAUAAAACAAGUCUCAAACAGAGAAGAUGUUGUAGUCAUUACCGGGGAUUGGUUGUUUAUUGUGAUUUAUGAAAUCAGUUUUAGUUGGUGACAAUUUUUAUUUUUCUUUUAAUUUGUCUACUUUGUUGACAGAAGUGCUCUAGCAACC
RNAcentral lists this long non-coding RNA (1859 nucleotides) under Citrus maxima (pomelo). Its description in RNAcentral is "long non-coding RNA (CMAX_LNC001393)". Lineage: Eukaryota; Viridiplantae; Streptophyta; Magnoliopsida; Sapindales; Rutaceae. The record is from RNAcentral.